Phthorimaea operculella (potato tuberworm) is the source of this 76-nucleotide non-coding RNA. The record is from the annotation of a GenBank genome assembly. NCBI's taxonomy places the organism in Eukaryota, Metazoa, Arthropoda, Insecta, Lepidoptera, Gelechiidae.
UCCGCGGUAGCCCAAUUGUUUGAGGCGUAGGCAGUACAGAUGCCGACAGUCGCAGGUUCAAUUCCUGCCUGCGGUG